GCUCAAAUUUGAAAUCUGGCUUCGGCCCGAGUUGUAAUUUGUAGAGGAUGCUUUUGGUGAGGUGCCUUCUGAGUUCCCUGGAACGGGACGCCACAGAGGGUGAGAGCCCCGUAUAGUUGGACACCGAGCCUCUGUAAAGCUCCUUCGACGAGUCGAGUAGUUUGGGAAUGCUGCUCAAAAUGGGAGGUAUAUCUCUUCUAAAGCUAAAUACUGGCCAGAGACCGAUAGCGCACAAGUAGAGUGAUCGAAAGAUGAAAAGCACUUUGAAAAGAGGGUUAAAUAGUACGUGAAAUUGUUGAAAGGGAAGCGCUUGUGACCAGACUUGUGCCGGGCUGAUCAUCCAGUGUUCUCACUGGUGCACUCUGCCCGGCUCAGGCCAGCGUCGGUUCUCGCAGGGGGAUAAAAGCGGCGGGAACGUGGCUCCUCCGGGAGUGUAUAGCCCGCCGCUCAAUACC
This 455-nucleotide ribosomal RNA is filed under the name Coniochaeta punctulata. RNAcentral's name for it is "eukaryotic LSU rRNA". It matches the Rfam family "Eukaryotic large subunit ribosomal RNA", at positions 107 to 574 of the family's 3401-position model. The record is from RNAcentral. Lineage: Eukaryota; Fungi; Ascomycota; Sordariomycetes; Coniochaetales; Coniochaetaceae.